This 98-nucleotide small RNA is filed under the name Escherichia coli. RNAcentral describes it as "partial RtT sRNA". It matches the Rfam family "RtT RNA", at positions 35 to 130 of the family's 130-position model. Rfam says of the family: This family represents a bacterial cis-regulatory element known as RtT RNA. The exact function of RtT is unknown although it is thought that it may be involved in changing the cellular response in relation to amino acid starvation. Lineage: Bacteria; Pseudomonadati; Pseudomonadota; Gammaproteobacteria; Enterobacterales; Enterobacteriaceae. The record is from RNAcentral.
ACCAAGGUUCGACUCGAGCGCCAGCGAGAGAGCGUUGCCGCAGGCAACGACCCGAAGGGCGAAGCGUGCAGCGCUGAGUAAUCCUUCCCCCACCACCA